This 350-nucleotide ribosomal RNA is filed under the name uncultured bacterium. RNAcentral's name for it is "bacterial SSU rRNA". It matches the Rfam family "Bacterial small subunit ribosomal RNA", at positions 30 to 381 of the family's 1533-position model. The record is from RNAcentral.
AUUGAACGCUGGCGGCAUGCCUUACACAUGCAAGUCGAACGGUAACGGGCCUUCGGGUGCCGACGAGUGGCGAACGGGUGAGUAAUGUAUCGGAACGUACCUUUCAGUGGGGGAUAACGUAGCGAAAGUUACGCUAAUACCGCAUAUUCUGUGAGCAGGAAAGCAGGGGAUCGCAAGACCUUGCGCUGAUUGAGCGGCCGAUAUCAGAUUAGCUAGUUGGUGAGGUAAAGGCUCACCAAGGCGACGAUCUGUAGCGGGUCUGAGAGGAUGAUCCGCCACACUGGAACUGAGACACGGUCCAGACUCCUACGGGAGGCAGCAGGUGGGGUAAGUUUUGGAACAAGUGGGGG